UUGAUUUUCUUUUCUCUUUUCAUUCUAAAACGCUUUCAUCUCCCUCUACCUCAUUCUUUCUAACUUCCAUCAUCAUCAUCCUCCAUCUUCUACUUCUUCUUCUCAGCUUCUCAUUAGGGUCCAUUGAUUUUUGCAGCCAUGGAUUAUGAUCUGGUUCGUUCCAAGAAGAGUAUCAAACGAGCAGAAUCCACCAAAUCAAAUCCAUGGUGGUGGGAUAGUCAUAUCGGUCUCAAAAAUUCAAAGUGGCUUGAGAAUAAUCUCGAUGGUGAGUCCAUUCUCGCAUUGUGUGUCAUUUUCAUGUGAAAA
Non-coding RNA from Camelina sativa (false flax), 306 nucleotides. Lineage: Eukaryota; Viridiplantae; Streptophyta; Magnoliopsida; Brassicales; Brassicaceae. The record is from RefSeq and is a predicted model, not a curated record.